This is a long non-coding RNA of Poecilia latipinna (sailfin molly), 992 nucleotides long. RefSeq lists it as uncharacterized. The record is from RefSeq and is a predicted model, not a curated record. The transcript has 2 exons. Lineage: Eukaryota; Metazoa; Chordata; Actinopteri; Cyprinodontiformes; Poeciliidae.
GUAAGACCUGCUCAUGUUGGCAGGAUUAGCAGCCGAGAUGCAGCACAUCUUAACUAAAAAUAACAUCAAGAGGAGCAUGACAUGAUCCCAUGCAAAGAGCUGCGAGCGUUUGUUUUUGUGCAGAGCAGGGCAACGCAGACUGAACUACAGCAGCCGACUAAAACCAGCCUUUGUUUUUCAUUGGUUGGCUUCAGUUGCACAUGUUCCUCAUUAAGAGCAAAAGCAGACAGGAUGAGGAGGGAGGAAUGGAUCAUAUGUCUGUGCCUUCCUGUGUCACUAUAAAAAGCAUUCUCUUUUAAAAAAGGAACCUCUUCAUAUGUGUAAAUCUUGGGGGAAAAGUGCUAUUCGCUCUCAUGGGAAGCGUGUAGUACACAAGUAGGUGGGAGGAACAUGGGCUCAAGCCAUGCAGUGGAUAUUUAUGGAGCCACUGUGUGUGUGUGUGUGUGUGUGUGGUGUUUGUGUGUGUUUGUGUGUGUGUGUGUGUGUGUGUGUGUUUGCGUAUACAGUAUCACUUCUGAGGGAGUGAAGGAUAACUUUGCAGGAGGAUCUUCUGUGUUUUUGUGUCGCUGAGGUAGAAUGAGAGAUCAAGAAGCUGAGGCUGACUGAGGUUUUUACAUGAGGUCUUUGAGUCAAGGCAUACUGGUAAUGUCAAAUACAGAUCAGAAUCGCACAACAAACACAGCACCACAAUUAUUACUGAGUAGAUAUCAUGUUCCUGAAUAGAUAUGUACCUGAGGUUUUCAUAAAUGACGUAAGAGAAGAGCACUGUUAAAAAAGUGAAAUCCUGAGAGUGGUAAAAAAAAAAAAUGACACGUCAACACUGCGGUCGACUCAAGUAUUUAUGAAGGUUUUGUUUUAGUUUUUUCUUUUUUUGUUCCAAAAUGAAAUAUCCAUUUCAACCUUUGGAUUUGAAUCAGUCACUUUCUGCUUGGAAGGAUUUACUCAGCUGAGGUUAAGAAGUAAUCUCUGAAAAUGGAUAUUUCAAUUUGAAA